GUCCACGCUGUAAACGAUGAGAACUAGAUGUUGGUAGGGGAACCUAUCAGUAUCGAAGCUAACGCGAUAAGUUCUCCGCCUGGGAAGUACGGCCGCAAGGUUGAAACUCAAAGGAAUUGACGGGGGCCCCGCACAAGCGGUGGAGCAUGUGGUUUAAUUCGAUGCAACGCGAAGAACCUUACCUACCCUUGACAUCCUGCGAAUCUGGCUGAGAGGCUGGAGUGCCGAACGGAACGCAGAGACAGGUGCUGCAUGGCUGUCGU
This 263-nucleotide ribosomal RNA is filed under the name uncultured bacterium. RNAcentral describes it as "partial 16S ribosomal RNA". It matches the Rfam family "Bacterial small subunit ribosomal RNA", at positions 793 to 1055 of the family's 1533-position model. The record is from RNAcentral.